AUGUUUUUAUGCAACAUCAGCUCCAUAAAGGACUGGAGCUAUUUUCUGUCUCAGAUUUUACCUUUGAUGAAUAAAACUGCAGGGUUGGUGAACAUCGACAAAGCCGAGGCUGUGACGACCACCACGGUGACAGCGUUGCAGCCGGACCGCGCCAUGAGCGCGAGCCACCCUCCUCUGAACUCCAACCACACGUCGGGCAUGGAGCACGUCUUCCAGUACUCCUACUCGGAGGGCGACCUGCUGUACACGGACCACCGGACCCCCGCCCGGGACCCCAUCCCGCUGCCCAAGGCGGUGCUGUACCUGGUCAUGGCGGCGCUGGUGGUGGUGGCGGUGGCGUAUGCGAUAGUCGGACACCUGGUCAAGGAUGUGGUCAAUGACUUUGUGGGCGGAGGCAGGUCUAUGGCCGCUGAAGGUGACGGCGGUGAAGCCAACCAACCAGACUGGGUGUUUGGCUCUCGUCGCUCCAGCGACCGCAACAAGAGCGAGAUCAACUGCAUCAGCAGAAAUGUGAGCGAGAUGAGCGAGAGGCCGCGGCUGGUGGAGAUGAGCUCCGUCUCCCUGAACCACAGUAAAUGUGUGAGCGGCAGCAGAGCGGAGGCGACGGUGGUCACCGUGGACGAGACCCUGCAGCAGCAGCGCCCUCCAGACCCUCAGUCUGGGACCUAACGGGCCAAGCGGCGCCAAAGCUUUGGGUCCGCGUUGGAGUGGAUUUACAGGAAGCGAAGCUCCUUCCGCUGUUUCGUCGCACGCAGGGACGCUGCACCUGUGGAGUUGGUGUCGGAGGGAUUUUGAGCUGUGAACCUGUGCGGGAACGUCAUCGGCAUCAGACGCUGAUGCUUGUGUCUGAUUGGACUCUUCACUGUGGAGACGGAGAAACAGGGACGGACAUGUGCAGCUUUUACGUGGACUGUUUCUUCUAUUUCUUCCUCCUAAUUUAUGAGCCACGCGUUUAAGUGCUUUAAUGUGACGUCAUGACAAACAGGAUGUGGUCAGUCCAUUUAUGCCAUGACUGUUGCUCACUGAUUGUUGUGCUGUUGCAGCUACAGUCUAACACACUUCACCUUCAUUAGAUGAACACGUGAACAGUGGUUUUAUUUUCCGUGACGCUGUGAGACACCAGGUUUUUAUAACCUCAUCACAUUUCUAUGAACUAACACAGGUCAGCUGUAAAUGUCAACCUGCUCCUUUUUGUGCAACGAUGCUGUAAUUACUGGAAGCAAAAAACUCAAAAGUAAAACAGUUUUUGUAGUUCUGUGUUAAUAGCUUUAUGUAAACAAGUGCUACCCGAACAGCCCUGGUUACACCUUAAACACAAAAAUUGUCAAAGCCAUCGAUCCUAUGAGGCAAAAACAGUCAACUGUGUCACUUUCACUUUUUUAAGUUUUGCAAUAAUCGUUGUGGUAAAAGUGUUGUAACAUCACAUUUGUGGCCGAAGCUGUGACUGCUUGUCCAUCUGUGUAGUGUCUGAUUGCUUUGGACCUUUAUUACCUCACUGUUAAGGGCUACGUGCUGCUGCUGAUGAGUCUGUGACACUACACAGAAUCCUGCUGGCUCCUAAAUGCUCUGUGCAUGCUGUGGUUAGUACAACUCUCCCAAAGAAGUAAAAUCCCAAGUAGCCGAUAUUGUUCACGCCUGGACCUCAACAACUUCACAGGUUGUUCUUGUUCUGGAUUAAAACCAGGUUCACUUUACUGCUACAGCAGCAAUUUGUUCCAAAGUUCAGAAUCUAAAACUGCAAAAAAGAUCAUUUUUUUACCACCUUGUCGCUGUCGAUCACUGUUUUCCCUUCAACUCUUCUAAUAAAUAUUUAUGGUUAUUGUAACUGUCA
RNAcentral lists this long non-coding RNA (1831 nucleotides) under Betta splendens (Siamese fighting fish). RNAcentral describes it as "lncRNA (ENSBSLG00000016241.1)". The record is from RNAcentral. Lineage: Eukaryota; Metazoa; Chordata; Actinopteri; Anabantiformes; Osphronemidae.